RNAcentral lists this transfer RNA (70 nucleotides) under Carcinochelis bannaensis. RNAcentral describes it as "tRNA-Met". Lineage: Eukaryota; Metazoa; Arthropoda; Insecta; Hemiptera; Phymatidae. The record is from RNAcentral.
AAAAAGAUAAGCUAAUUAAGCUUUCAGGUUCAUACCCUGAAGAUAGAAGUAAUAAACCUUCUUCUUUUUA